CCCUAUGGAGCUUAAAUUUAAUACUCAUGUACUACACUAUAACUCUCAAGAGCACAACAUACUUACACCUGAGUACGCAAUUUUGGUUGGGGUGACCUCGGAGCACAAAUCAACCUCCGAGUAUUAUAUACAUAGAUCUACCAGUCAAAGUACACAAACAAUAUAUACAUUGACCCAAACAAUUGAUCAACGGAACAAGUUACCCUAGGGAUAACAGCGCA
RNAcentral lists this ribosomal RNA (221 nucleotides) under Galago alleni (Allen's squirrel galago). RNAcentral's name for it is "partial 16S ribosomal RNA". The record is from RNAcentral. Lineage: Eukaryota; Metazoa; Chordata; Mammalia; Primates; Galagidae.